GGUGAUGAGAAAAAAAAAAAAGUUGUCUCAUCCAUGUUCUUUCCCCCCCCCUUUAGCCGUGACUUGAGAAAGAAAGAAAAGAAGAAGUUGGUUCUUCUUGGCCGUGAAUUGAAGGAGGAAGAAGAGGGGAAGUUCGGCCAAGGUGAUUCUUGGGAUUAAGAUCUCAUUUGGAAGCUACAGGCUCGGGGAUCGUCAGCAACUAGUCACACUAUCACUAUCCACUGUUUGGUACUGCUAUGUUUUGGAAUAUCUUAUGGCAUGUAUAGAAUAGACUAGUAGUGAGAGGAUAUUUGGUCAUGUACCCAUGGAUUUUGUGUAAAUUUGGAUAGCCAUGCGAAAAUGGCUUAUAUACGUUUUUAGCAUAGUACUAUAAUCGUGUUGUAUGUUGAUCAUUAAGAAGUAUGGAAGUGUUUGGAAA
Long non-coding RNA from Gossypium arboreum, 418 nucleotides. RefSeq lists it as uncharacterized. NCBI's taxonomy places the organism in Eukaryota, Viridiplantae, Streptophyta, Magnoliopsida, Malvales, Malvaceae. The transcript has 2 exons. The record is from RefSeq and is a predicted model, not a curated record.